UGUUUGGAUACGCUGACCGCAAACACUUUUGGAACUCCGCCGACUCGCCCUGGCUUAACUCUUUUUUCUUUUCAGUUUGCGCCCAGAUGUUUCAAGUUUCAAUUGAUACAUAUCAUCUGGCUUUCUGAAAUAAAUGAAUGGAGAGCCGAGUGUCGGAGAUGAAGCUAUGUUGAAAAAAUAUUGUACAGAGCGGCGAAUGGUUUUCCAUGUCUCCAGUACUGUUGUGCACUCAAUUUGUCUCUCUUCAUCUCCUCCACUCGUGUGAAUCUGUUUGAACAGUGGCGCCGCGGCUCGUUUCUCUCCUUCUCUCUCUCUCUCUUUGGGCCCUUUGGGGUAAAAUCAACGAAGAUGAAGAAGAAGCGUGUCGUUUUGUCGGUAGCUAUGCUGCCAGUUCAUCGGCAAAUAAGCAUGCUUGUCCUACAUUAUGUUCUCAUGG
Caenorhabditis elegans is the source of this 436-nucleotide non-coding RNA. Lineage: Eukaryota; Metazoa; Nematoda; Chromadorea; Rhabditida; Rhabditidae. The record is from Ensembl.